Molecule: long non-coding RNA, 1230 nt
Filed under: Sus scrofa (pig)
Lineage: Eukaryota; Metazoa; Chordata; Mammalia; Artiodactyla; Suidae
Description: lncRNA (ENSSSCG00015062934.1)
Source: RNAcentral
GAUGGUUUGAAAUUUAUUUUUGGUACUGGAAAGGGCUUAAGUAUUAUUUUUUUAAAUCUCCAAAUCUUUUUUUUUUUAUGAUUCACAAUUUUUGUAUUUAUUUAUUUACUUUUUUAUUUUUUUGCUUUUUAGGGCUGCACCUGGGGCACAUGGGAGUUCCCAGGCUAGGGGUCAAAUAGGAGCUACAGCUGCCAGCCUACACCACAGCCACAGCAAUGAGGUAUCCGAGCCGCAUCUGUGACCUACACUGCAGCUCACAGCAGUGCUGGAUCCUCAACCCACUGAGUGAGCCCAGGGAUUGAACCUGCAUCCUCAUGGAUACUAGUUGGAUUUGCUGCCACUGCACCACAGUGGGAACUCCUGAUUCACAAUUUUUAAAGGUUAUACUCCAAUUAUAGUUAUUAUGGAAUAUCUGCAUACUCCCUGUGCUACACAAUAUUUCCUCAUAGCUUAUUUAUUUUAUACACAGUAGUUUCUAUCUUAAUUCCCUACCUCUCCUUUGCCCCUCCUCCUUUCCCUCUCCUCACUGGUAACCACUAGUUUGUUCCCUGUAUCUGUGAGUCCUCUUCUUUUUUGGUUAUAUUCACUAGUUGCAAUUUUUUAGAUUCCACCUAUAAGUAAUAUCAUACAGUAUUCGUUUUGCUCUGACUUAUUUCACUUAGCAUAAUGCCCUCCAAGUGUAUCCGUGUUGCUGCAAGUGGCAAAAUUUCAUCCUUUUUUUAAUGGCUGAAUAGUAAUUCCUAUACAUCUACAUCUAUAUCACAUCUUCUUUAUCUCUUCAUCUGCUGAUGGGCAUUUAGGGUGCUUCCAUAUCUUGGCGAUGGUAAAUAAUGCUCCUAUGAACAUUGCAGUGCCUGUAUCUUUUUGAAUUAGUGUUUUUGCUUUUUUCAUCUAUAUCCCCAGGGGGGGAACUGCAGGGUCAUAUGGUAGUUUCUAUUUUUAGUUUUUGAGGAACAUCCAUACUAUUUUUCACAGUGGCUGCAUCUAUUUAUGUUCCCACCAACAGUGUACAAGGGUUCCCCUUUCUUCACUUCCUUGCCAGCAAUAUCACUGGUGUUCUUUUUGAUAACCUUGCAGAAGGAGAUUUUAAGAGAAGAACCAGUGUACAACACCUUUCUGCAUGAAGCCCUCUCGCUUUUCCCAUAGAGUGAACUCCAACCCCAGCAUGUUCUGGUCCAUGCUCCCCUCCCCCCAGCUGCUGGAACAGGUGUAUCCCUUCCAUCACGGGGC